UCACAUUCUCUUUGUAGUUUUCUAUUUUCACGUCUCCGCGGCUUUCGGUGAAUUGAUCACGUCCCGUUAUUGGCGGUCUGGCGCUACUGCGAGAUUUAUAUCCACCAGGCCCUGGCCCAAGAGUUUCUGUUCGAGGAGAAAUGAAAACACACGACUCGACUGGAGAAUAAUACGGUGAAGGCUUUUUCAUGGCUUGCUGGAAAAUCCUAUGUGAAUUGGCCCGUUAGAAACAGUGUUUUUGAAAGAAGAUAUCGUCACUUGCGGAAACUGUAUAGCUGUUGUAUUGCUUAUAGAUAUAGAGUUUGCCCUUCGGUGGGAGGAGAGGGUCGACAAAAUUCUUCUGUCUGGUGAAAUGUCACCUGUAAAAGAAAUGGCGCCUCAUCCUAAGAUGUAUAUUCCAUUUUGAUAUCAGAAAUGUUUUUGGCGCGAUUUUGUCUGUUUCUAUCUUUUCUAUUACUAUCCAAAAUUGUCGUAUUUGAUAUAUAUUCCUGCAUACGCGAUAAUAAAUUAUAAAAUAUUAAUUUCAGCAAAUGGAAAUAUACGUUAAAGUGGC
Long non-coding RNA from Leptinotarsa decemlineata (Colorado potato beetle), 553 nucleotides. The record is from RefSeq and is a predicted model, not a curated record. Lineage: Eukaryota; Metazoa; Arthropoda; Insecta; Coleoptera; Chrysomelidae.